RNAcentral lists this transfer RNA (75 nucleotides) under Candidatus Yanofskyibacteriota bacterium. RNAcentral describes it as "Candidatus Yanofskybacteria bacterium tRNA-Gly". It matches the Rfam family "tRNA". Rfam says of the family: Transfer RNA (tRNA) molecules are approximately 80 nucleotides in length. The record is from RNAcentral. Lineage: Bacteria; Candidatus Yanofskyibacteriota.
GCGGGAGUAGUUCAAUGGCAGAACGCGUCGUUGCCAACGACGAGGUUGCGGGUUCAAUCCCCGUCUCCCGCUCCA